Molecule: transfer RNA, 64 nt
Filed under: Clephydroneura sp.
Lineage: Eukaryota; Metazoa; Arthropoda; Insecta; Diptera; Asilidae
Description: tRNA-Arg
Source: RNAcentral
AAAUAUGAAGUGAUAAAUCACAAUUAGUUUCGACCUAAUUAUAGGUGUAAAACACCCUUAUUUU